RNAcentral lists this non-coding RNA (766 nucleotides) under Eudocima salaminia. Lineage: Eukaryota; Metazoa; Arthropoda; Insecta; Lepidoptera; Erebidae. The record is from RNAcentral.
AUAAAUUUUAGUGUUAAUUUUUAUUUUAUUUUAAUAAUAAAUUUAUUUAUUAAGUAGUAAUUAAUAUUAAAAAUAUAAGUAAUUAAGAUUUAGUAAUAUUAAAAUUAAUAACAAAUUUUGUGCCAGCAGUUGCGGUUAAACAAAUAUUAAAUUAAAUUUUAUUAGUUAAUUAAUAAAUAUAUGUAUAUUAUAAUUUAAAAUUUAAAUUAUUAGGUGAAAUUUUAAUUUAAUUAAAAUUUAUUUUAUUUAUGUGAUUUAAUAAAUUUUAUAAUAAACUAGGAUUAGAUACCCUAUUAUAAAAAUUUUAAAAUAAAAUACUAAAAUAGUAGAUAAUUAUUUAUUGAAACUUAAAUAAUUUGGCGGUAUUUUAGUUCAUUUAGAGGAAUCUGUUUAAUAAUUGAUAAUCCACGAAUAAAUUUACUUAAUUUAAAAUUUUGUAUAUCGUUGUUAAAAAAAUAUUUUAUAAUAAUAAUAAUAUUUUAAUUUUAAAAUUAAAAGUUAAAUCAGAUCAAGAUGCAGAUUAUAAUUAAGAAUAUAAUGGAUUACAAUAAAAUUUAUUUAAAUGAAUAUUAAUUUGAAAAAAUUAUUUGAAAGUGGAUUUAAAUGUAAUUUUAUUUAAUUUAAUAAAAUGAUUUAAAAUUAAAAUAUGUACAUAUUGCCCGUCGCUUUCAUAUGAUUAUAAUAAAAUAUUUUAUAGAUUUUAAUUAUAAAAAGUUGAAAUAAGUCGUAACAAAGUAGAGGUACUGGAAAGUGUUUCUAGAAAGAA